RNAcentral lists this ribosomal RNA (472 nucleotides) under uncultured bacterium. RNAcentral's name for it is "bacterial SSU rRNA". It matches the Rfam family "Bacterial small subunit ribosomal RNA", at positions 335 to 801 of the family's 1533-position model. The record is from RNAcentral.
ACUCUACGGGAGGCAGCAGUGGGGAAUAUUGCACAAUGGGCGCAAGCCUGAUGCAGCCAUGCCGCGUGUAUGAAGAAGGCCUUCGGGUUGUAAAGUACUUUCAGCAGUGAGGAAGGUGGGUAUGUUAAUAGCAUAUUCAUUUGACGUUAGCUGCAGAAGAAGCACCGGCUAACUCCGUGCCAGCAGCCGCGGUAAUACGGAGGGUGCGAGCGUUAAUCGGAAUUACUGGGCGUAAAGCGCAUGCAGGUGGUUUGUUAAGUCAGAUGUGAAAGCCCGGGGCUCAACCUCGGAAUUGCAUUUGAAACUGGCAAACUAGAGUACUGUAGAGGGGGGUAGAAUUUCAGGUGUAGCGGUGAAAUGCGUAGAGAUCUGAAGGAAUACCGGUGGCGAAGGCGGCCCCCUGGACAGAUACUGACACUCAGAUGCGAAAGCGUGGGGAGCAAACAGGAUUAGAUACCCUGGUAGCUACGAG